UUUUGUAGAAUGAACCGGCGAGUUACGAUUUGAUGCAAGGUUAAGCAGUAAAUGUGGAGCCGUAGCGAAAGCGAGUCUGAAUAGGGCGUUUAGUAUUUGGUCGUAGACCCGAAACCAGGUGAUCUACCCUUGGUCAGGUUGAAGUUCAGGUAACACUGAAUGGAGGACCGAACCGACUUACGUUGAAAAGUGAGCGGAUGAACUGAGGGUAGCGGAGAAAUUCCAAUCGAACCUGGAGAUAGCUGGUUCUCUCCGAAAUAGCUUUAGGGCUAGCCUCAAGUGAUGAUUAUUGGAGGUAGAGCACUGUUUGGACGAGGGGCCCCUCUCGGGUUACCGAAUUCAGACAAACUCCGAAUGCCAAUUAAUUUAACUUGGGAGUCAGAACAUGGGUGAUAAGGUCCGUGUUCGAAAGGGAAACAGCCCAGACCACCAGCUAAGGUCCCAAAAUAUAUGUUAAGUGGAAAAGGAUGUGGCGUUGCCCAGACAACUAGGAUGUUGGCUUAGAAGCAGCCAUCAUUUAAAGAGUGCGUAAUAGCUCACUAGUCGAGUGACACUGCGCCGAAAAUGUACCGGGGCUAAACAUAUUACCGAAGCUGUGGAUUGUCCUUUGGACAAUGGUAGGAGAGCGUU
Molecule: ribosomal RNA, 630 nt
Filed under: Staphylococcus aureus
Lineage: Bacteria; Bacillati; Bacillota; Bacilli; Caryophanales; Staphylococcaceae
Description: partial 23S ribosomal RNA
Rfam family: Bacterial large subunit ribosomal RNA
Source: RNAcentral